This 166-nucleotide ribosomal RNA is filed under the name Escherichia coli. Its description in RNAcentral is "partial 16S ribosomal RNA". It matches the Rfam family "Bacterial small subunit ribosomal RNA", at positions 1 to 160 of the family's 1533-position model. Lineage: Bacteria; Pseudomonadati; Pseudomonadota; Gammaproteobacteria; Enterobacterales; Enterobacteriaceae. The record is from RNAcentral.
AAAUUGAAGAGUUUGAUCAUGGCUCAGAUUGAACGCUGGCGGCAGGCCUAACACAUGCAAGUCGAACGGUAACAGGAGGAAGCUUGCUUCUUUGCUGACGAGUGGCGGACGGGUGAGUAAUGUCUGGGAAACUGCCUGAUGGAGGGGGAUAACUACUGGAAACGGU